AUUGAACGCUGGCGGCAGGCUUAACACAUGCAAGUCGAACGAGCGGCGGACGGGUGAGUAAUGUCUGGGAAACUGCCUGAUGGAGGGGGAUAACUACUGGACACGGUAGCUAAUACCGCAUACCAUCAGAUGUGCCCAGAUGGGAUUAGCUAGUGGGUGGGGUAAUGGCGUACCAAGGCGACGAUCCGUAACUGGUCUGAGAGGAUGACCAGCCACACUGGAACUGAGACACGGUCCAGACGCCUACGGGAGGCAGCAGUGGGGAAUAUUGCACAAUGGGCGAAAGCCUGAUGCAGCCAUGCCGCGUGUGUGAAGAAGGCCGUCGGGUUGUAAAGCACUUUAAGCGAGGAGGCGUUACUCGCAGAAGAAGCACCGGCUAACUCCGUGCCAGCAGCCGCGGUAAUAC
This 406-nucleotide ribosomal RNA is filed under the name uncultured bacterium. Its description in RNAcentral is "partial 16S ribosomal RNA". It matches the Rfam family "Bacterial small subunit ribosomal RNA", at positions 30 to 526 of the family's 1533-position model. The record is from RNAcentral.